UUAAGGUAGCCAAAUGCCUCGU
RNAcentral lists this small nuclear RNA (22 nucleotides) under Arabidopsis thaliana (thale cress). RNAcentral describes it as "snRNA_04216". The record is from RNAcentral. Lineage: Eukaryota; Viridiplantae; Streptophyta; Magnoliopsida; Brassicales; Brassicaceae.